UUGGUAAUUCAACUAUACAGUAUAUGUUAUAAUAUAUGAGUAAUAUGUAGCUGUAUGUAAAAUACAGUAUGCAUUUUUAAAUAUUUUUACAUUUUGUUUGCAAAUUAUUCAGUUUUAUAUUCAAAUUUGUUUAGGAAAUCAAAAUAAAUAUAGUGUGUGACUGACCCACAUAGAGGAUUUGAAACCCCUUCUUUUAGUCCUUUGAACUCUCUUUGAAGGCUAGAAAGGUAGUUUUUGAUAAACACUGACUUAACUCUGAAAGUAUUGCUUUGAGCUUGAGCAAGAGUGUUUUUGAAGGGGUGUUUAUGUUAUUCUGUUCCCUGAAACACUGUAGACUGCCACUGGCUGCCAGAUUUCUUUUCCAUUUAAACAGAAGGAAAUGAAGAACCUUCCAGUGCUGGAAUCUUACUUUGUAACCCAGCCGGCUUUGCAGCUGGACGGCAAAUAAUAAAUAAAUAAAUAAAUAAAUAAAUAAAUAAAAAUAGCAGUGCUUAGAAUGAAACACUGGAAUCAAAACUUGUUGCUAAAUUAUGUAUUUAGGGUUAUGCAUCCAUAAUUCCUUACUCAGGUUCUCCUUCGUCUCUUGUACUUCCUCGCUGUUCUCAAUGCUUUCUUCACAAGUUUGCGUACAGUUUCCAGUCAGUAUAAAUUCUGUGUACACUUAGAACCUGUCAAAACACUGCUUACAUGUGUUCAGUGUGGUUUGUGUUUGCAUUUUCAUAAGCAUGCACUAGUCGUGUGAGCUGUUUCUCCCUUGGCAUGUUAUAACUGAGGUCUUUGUGGAUAUUUUUUGGUUAGCAGACUGCCGUGGCAAAGUCAUGCCAAGCCAAUGGCCCAGGGCAGACAAACUGGAGGAGAUGUUACAGAGCGGGUGUGACGGAAAAAGAAGUCAUGCAGUUUUGCAACAUGUGGUUCAAAGAGGCUAAGUCACGGCUGGAGAGAGAUCAGCAGGAGCAGGGACAGGGAUGGCAGGAAUGUAAAGUGUUUCCUGAUGCUGAGUUCACCUCCCUCUGGGAUCAGACCCUGUGCGUUCUGGACCUGAAGCUUUUUCUAGAGACACUCAGGCUACUUGCAGCAACAGUCUGCUAAGUUAAGAUAUUUACAUAAUUAGACUGACUACUCUUGUGAAAAAAAUAGCACUUAAUAUACUUUAAAAGAAUAUACUUAUGUAAUUUAUUCGCACACUUAGUGCAUGUUAAUUGCAAUUAAAUGAAAAUAUAUUAUGGCUUACAGUAUGUUUAGAUAAAAUGCAAUUAGUUGAAUGUUGGCUUGCUUUUUUGACAUGAGAACUUUUUUUAUAAUUUUAGUCUUUGAAAUAUAAAGUCAUCUUUCAAAAGCACUGACAUGAAUUUACUGUAAACUAAAACACUUUAAUUAAACUUGCAUGUGUGUAUAUACAUUUGUAAUGAUGAAAUUGCAAUUUAGUAUUAAUUAUUAAUGUAAUUCCUUAUUGGCACAACCGAUUAGUUACUUUUAAG
Long non-coding RNA from Cyprinus carpio (common carp), 1478 nucleotides. Lineage: Eukaryota; Metazoa; Chordata; Actinopteri; Cypriniformes; Cyprinidae. The record is from Ensembl.